UUAACAUUAACAGGAAGUGAAACCUGGAUCCUUGAAGUUAUUUUUUUAAAACUAUAAAAACUCAUUCACAAUUUAGACUACGAAGAUUAUUAGUUAAAAAAUUCCUAAAAACUACAUGAACUUGUGGACUAGUUUGACCUCUCAAGUAACAUCUAAUCAGUAUGCAUUGACCCUGACUUGUUGCAUGACUUGGGGUAGGACUGAUAACCACAUUGCAGUUGUUGCGUCUGGUGCCUGAACUCACAGUAUGAGUUGCCAAUGUGCCGGAGAAACUUGCAUAACGCCACCCCCCUUCAAAAUCCAGAACCAUCACACAAACCUCUUUGGUUUUGACUCUGCAAUCAUACAAAAUCCAGUAUAUUUAGGCUAAAAGGCAGAGUACCACACUUAUAGCAGUUUGCAUAGGUGUGGUUUUCCACCCAUACUAGAAGUAGGGUUCCCAAAUAUAGGAUGGAGAACAGCCUGCUGUAAAGAUGACUCCUAGUGUUGCGCUCUCCACCCUGUAAUUGAUGAGCCCUCAUUUGGAUCAUACAGGGACAUGUACUGUCUUGCAUGGUAAAGUUAGAAUCACAUAAAAUUCUGAUAUGCAUGUAGGCCUAAUCACACAACCUAGAGCUGUACAGAAGGCUAGGUAAGUGUUGGGAAGUCCCACAUCGACUACCUCACAUUCUUGGGAAUUGUUUAAAUACAUGUUCAACUACAUCUCUAUUAGCCAAUUAGUUUUGAGAUGAAACUUUAAAGUAAGUAUAUUGCAUGCAUGAUAUCAUUUCAAACACACCACAUCUUAUAUCUGCAGGGGUAUAAUACCUUUAAGGGAAGUGGCAAAUGUCCUGUAAUUAAAUAAAUAAAAAAUAUGAUAACAAUUGUAUGGUUGCUAUCUUUAUCAGAUUUUUUAAGUCAAGAAUCUACGACAAGCACCACAAAUCUCCUCUAUCAAAUCUAAUGAAUAUGCAAUUUUAAUUAAUCAGAGCAGUAUAAGCUAAUAUGUAUUGAGAAGUUACUGCUUUAAAUAGAGAUCAUAGUCAUACACAUAAGUUCCAAUCAUUAUAAACACUCAUCAUUCUGACGUUCUAUAAAUUUACCUGUAUCACUGUAUAUUUUUAUGGCAAAAGUGGAGAUUGCAGGAAGCAGCAAAAUUGCUGCACAGAGAUACACACUUCUGUCUACACACCAUCAC
This 1177-nucleotide long non-coding RNA is filed under the name Lupinus angustifolius (narrow-leaved blue lupine). RNAcentral describes it as "long non-coding RNA (LANG_LNC000936)". Lineage: Eukaryota; Viridiplantae; Streptophyta; Magnoliopsida; Fabales; Fabaceae. The record is from RNAcentral.